CCUUAUCACUUUUCCAGCCCAGCUUCUUCACUGUAACUGUUGGACGGAGAACUGAUAAGGGU
RNAcentral lists this microRNA precursor (62 nucleotides) under Columba livia (rock pigeon). RNAcentral's name for it is "Cli-Mir-184_pre stem-loop". It matches the Rfam family "mir-184 microRNA precursor family", at positions 13 to 74 of the family's 86-position model. The record is from RNAcentral. Lineage: Eukaryota; Metazoa; Chordata; Aves; Columbiformes; Columbidae.